This 395-nucleotide ribosomal RNA is filed under the name uncultured bacterium. RNAcentral describes it as "bacterial SSU rRNA". It matches the Rfam family "Bacterial small subunit ribosomal RNA", at positions 505 to 898 of the family's 1533-position model. The record is from RNAcentral.
GUGUCAGCAGCCGCGGUAAUACGUAGGUGGCAAGCGUUGUCCGGAUUUAUUGGGCGUAAAGCGCCCGCAGGCGGCUCAGCAAGUUUCAGGUGAAAUCUCCUGGCUCAACUGGGAGGGGUCUUGGAAAACUGCUGGGCUUGAGGCAGGGAGAGGGAUGCGGAAUACCAGGUGUAGUGGUGAAAUGCGUAGAUAUCUGGUGGAACACCAGUGGCGAAGGCGGCAUCCUGGCCCUGUCCUGACGCUCAGGGGCGAAAGCGUGGGGAGCAAACCGGAUUAGAUACCCGGGUAGUCCACGCCGUAAACGAUGAGUACUAGGUGUAGGGGGUAUCGACCCCCUCUGUGCCGAAGCUAACGCGAUAAGUACUCCGCCUGGGGACUACGGCCGCAAGGCUAAA